Non-coding RNA from Cynocephalus volans (Philippine flying lemur), 489 nucleotides. NCBI's taxonomy places the organism in Eukaryota, Metazoa, Chordata, Mammalia, Dermoptera, Cynocephalidae. The record is from the annotation of a RefSeq genome assembly.
AUGGAGCCAUUCCUGGGAGUCGCUUUGGUGGUUUUGUGGCUUCAAACGGACUGGGUGAACAGCCAGAAGGUAGAGCAGAAUCCUCGGGCCCUGAGCAUCCAGGAGGGUGAAAAGGCCACUCUGACCUGUAACUAUACGAGCUUCUCUCCAGAGGCCCUACAGUGGUACCGACAAGAUCCAGGAAGAGGCCUUGUCUUCUUGCUGCUAAUACGUGAAAAUGAGGGUGAAAAACAGGAAGGAAGACUGAGGGUCACCUUUGAUAAGACCUCCAAACAGAGCUCCUUUCAUAUCACAGCCUCCUGGCCUGUAGACUCAGCCACAUACCUCUGUGCUGCAGACACACAGCAGUGCCCUGGCAGCUGCGUCCUGCACCCAAACCCUGCUCACCUCUCACAGUCAACAGAGCUGGUGCUGUUCCCACAAGGCCUCCUCCAGCUCCUGGCAAAACAAAGUGGGGGCCAUUUGAAAGGGGUGAAAUGUGUGGGAUAG